Molecule: ribosomal RNA, 399 nt
Filed under: uncultured bacterium
Lineage: Bacteria
Description: bacterial SSU rRNA
Rfam family: Bacterial small subunit ribosomal RNA
Source: RNAcentral
AGGGAAUCUUCGGCAAUGGACGCAAGUCUGACCGAGCAACGCCGCGUGAGUGAUGACGGUCUUCGGAUUGUAAAGCUCUGUCUUUUGGGACGAUAAUGACGGUACCAAAGGAGGAAGCCACGGCUAACUACGUGCCAGCAGCCGCGGUAAUACGUAGGUGGCAAGCGUUGUCCGGAUUUACUGGGCGUAAAGGAUGUGUAGGCGGAUACUUAAGUGAGAUGUGAAAGCCCCGGGCUCAACCUGGGGACUGCAUUUCAAACUGGGUAUCUAGAGUGCAGGAGAGGAAAGCGGAAUUCCUAGUGUAGCGGUGAAAUGCGUAGAGAUUAGGAAGAACAUCAGUGGCGAAGGCGGCUUUCUGACUGUAACUGACGCUGAGGCAUGAAAGCGUGGGGAGCAAAC